Molecule: ribosomal RNA, 300 nt
Filed under: uncultured Desulfurococcus sp.
Lineage: Archaea; Thermoproteati; Thermoproteota; Thermoprotei; Desulfurococcales; Desulfurococcaceae
Description: bacterial SSU rRNA
Rfam family: Bacterial small subunit ribosomal RNA (bases 52-300)
Source: RNAcentral
GUGAAGUGUGUGCAGGAGGGGGGGGUAAUACGGGGGUGGCAGACGUUAGGUGGAAUUACUGGGGUUAAAGCGCGCGUAGGCGGCUGGGUAAGUCGAUGGUGAAAGCCCCGGGCUCAGCCGGGGAAUUGCAGUCGAGACUGCCUGGCUAGAGUGUGGGAGAGGGCAGUGGAAUUCCCGGUGUAGCGGUGAAAUGCGUAGAUAUCGGGAGGAACAUCAGUGGCGAAGGCGACUGCCUGGCCCAACACUGUCGCUGAGGUGCGAAAGCGUGGGUAGCAAACAGGAUUAGAUACCCCUGUAGUC